GCCAGGAUGGUGUAGUGGUUUGAGCAUUGGACUGUGACUCUGGAGGCCAGGGUUCGAAUCCCCACUCAACCA
Phrynosoma platyrhinos (Desert horned lizard) is the source of this 72-nucleotide non-coding RNA. The record is from the annotation of a GenBank genome assembly. NCBI's taxonomy places the organism in Eukaryota, Metazoa, Chordata, Lepidosauria, Squamata, Phrynosomatidae.